This 470-nucleotide ribosomal RNA is filed under the name uncultured bacterium. Its description in RNAcentral is "bacterial SSU rRNA". It matches the Rfam family "Bacterial small subunit ribosomal RNA", at positions 917 to 1382 of the family's 1533-position model. The record is from RNAcentral.
GGGCCCGCACAAGCGGUGGAGCAUGUGCUUUAAUUCGAUGCAACGCGAAGAACCUUACCUGGACUUGACAUGGGGGUGAAAGCUUUCAGAAAUGAGAGACCUUCCGCAAGGAACACCCCACACAGGUGCUGCAUGGUUGUCGUCAGCUCGUGUCGUGAGAUGUUGGGUUAAGUCCCGCAACGAGCGCAACCCUCGCCCUUAGUUGCCAUCAGGUUAUGCUGGGAACUCUAAGGGGACUGCCUGGUUUAACCAGGAGGAAGGUGGGGAUGACGUCAAAUCCUCAUGGCCCUUACGUCCAGGGCUAGACACGUGCUACAAUGGCAGAUACAGCGGGAUGCAAGCUGGUGACAGCAAGCUAAUCCCUUAAAAUCUGUCUCAGUUCGGAUUGAAGUCUGCAAUUCGACUUCAUGAAGCUGGAAUCGCUAGUAAUCGCGGAUCAGCAUGCCGCGGUGAAUACGUUCCCGGGCCUU